GGUUAGAUAACAUAACGGUAAUGUAAAGAUCUGCAAAGUCUGAAAUGGUGGUUCGAUUCCACCUCUAACCU
RNAcentral lists this transfer RNA (71 nucleotides) under Thecamonas trahens. RNAcentral's name for it is "tRNA-Cys". It matches the Rfam family "tRNA". Rfam says of the family: Transfer RNA (tRNA) molecules are approximately 80 nucleotides in length. Their secondary structure includes four short double-helical elements and three loops (D, anti-codon, and T loops). Further hydrogen bonds mediate the characteristic L-shaped molecular structure. tRNAs have two regions of fundamental functional importance: the anti-codon, which is responsible for specific mRNA codon recognition, and the 3' end, to which the tRNAs corresponding amino acid is attached (by aminoacyl-tRNA synthetases). tRNAs cope with the degeneracy of the genetic code in two manners: having more than one tRNA (with a specific anti-codon) for a particular amino acid; and 'wobble' base-pairing, i.e. permitting non-standard base-pairing at the 3rd anti-codon position. The record is from RNAcentral. Lineage: Eukaryota; Apusomonadida; Apusomonadidae.